RNAcentral lists this ribosomal RNA (552 nucleotides) under Rochia nilotica. Its description in RNAcentral is "partial 16S ribosomal RNA". It matches the Rfam family "Bacterial large subunit ribosomal RNA", at positions 1816 to 2594 of the family's 2925-position model. Lineage: Eukaryota; Metazoa; Mollusca; Gastropoda; Trochida; Tegulidae. The record is from RNAcentral.
CGCUCUUCGAUUAUUACAAGUUUUAAAAAUGGAGAGUCGGACCUGCCCAGUGACUAGAGUGUUAAACGGCCGCGGUACUCUGACCGUGCAAAGGUAGCAUAAUCAUUUGCCUUUUAAUUGGGGGCUAGUAUGAAUGGUUUGACGAGAACUAAGCUGUCUCUGCCUAAAUUUUUAGAAAUUAUUUUUUAGGUGAAGAAUCCUAAAUUUAGUUGAGGGACAAGAAGACCCUAUUGAGCUUAAGUAAAAUCUCAUACAUUAAUAUAAUAGAUAUAGAAAUUUCAUAACAUGAAAAGAGUGUGUGUUGUAAAUCUUUAGUUGGGGCGAUUAAGGAAUACAAAAAGCUUCCUUGAAAUAUCAAUAAGUGAUUGGCAGUCAUGCUAGUAAGAUGAGAUCCAGUAUUUUACUGAUCAGCGGAAAAAGUUACCAUAGGGAUAACAGCGUAAUCUUUCUGGAGAGUUCUUAUCGAAAGAAGGGUUUGCGACCUCGAUGUUGGACUAAGAUAUCCUAGAGGUGUAGCNGCUUCUGAGGGUUGGUCUGUUCGACCAUUAAANU